RNAcentral lists this unclassified non-coding RNA (216 nucleotides) under Hevea brasiliensis (rubber tree). The record is from RNAcentral. Lineage: Eukaryota; Viridiplantae; Streptophyta; Magnoliopsida; Malpighiales; Euphorbiaceae.
AAUGUGUACACACGUUAGUCAAGAUUGUUCUGUCCAACUUUUGCUAUGAAGAUCAGGUUUUGUACCAUACAAUAGGAUUGUUCAAAUUCAGCCAAAUUCAACCCAAAGGACCCAAUAAACAUUUAUUGCAUCUACCGAUGUUAUUAGCCUAUCUGAUACCAAUCUGACCCUACUAAUUAGUAAUUAAUUACACUCACUAACUAUGUUGAAACAAUU